Molecule: long non-coding RNA, 632 nt
Organism: Pseudophryne corroboree (corroboree frog)
Lineage: Eukaryota; Metazoa; Chordata; Amphibia; Anura; Myobatrachidae
Exons: 3
Source: RefSeq, a predicted model, not a curated record
GUUGCCAAAUAGAGGCCACAUGGGCUGACAAGUAGAGGCCACCCGCAUGGGCUGACAAGUAGAGGCUGGCUGGGGUGGCAAGUAGAGAUUUGUUUCUCCUAUUAUGUCACCCUAUGCAGGAAGGGGAGACCAGAACUCCAAUUUCUAUAGAUUACUGAAGCGCAAAGCAGGAACUACAAUCCUAUACAAUUCAAAUCUGAGGAAGCAGUCCAAUCCAGAUCUCCCUCCUCAAAACUGGAAAACCCACAGAUAUUUCCAAAGGUUCCAUUCAAAGUGAGAGCCUUAGGGUAUUAUGGAGCUGCAGGUCCGGGUGGGUGCAAUCUCCCAGCAAAACCUACUGUAUUUCAGCUCCUGUAAGUGGAAGUGAGUCAGUCAAGAAUUACCAGCAGAGAGAACAUAUCUCCAGUCAAGAAAGUAGAGAUGGAGAACACCAGAAUCAGCAUAGAAGAUGGCAGAUCAGUUGUGGAGCCAAUCACCCAGAUCAAAGAAGAAGAGAGCAAGUUGAGGAUCCAGCAUGUGCCCACAGCAGCAGUGGACCCCAUGCUCUUGUAUGUGGGUCCACUUGACCACCCUGAAGUUGUAUGCCAAAGUUAUAAACUAGGCUCAUGGUCAUGUUUAUUUUCAGGUGCUAG